Gorilla gorilla gorilla (western lowland gorilla) is the source of this 107-nucleotide small nuclear RNA. The record is from Ensembl. Lineage: Eukaryota; Metazoa; Chordata; Mammalia; Primates; Hominidae.
GUGCUUGCUUUGGCAGCACAUAUACUAAAAUUGGAAGGAUACAGAGAAGAUUAGCACAGUCCUUGCGCAAGGAUGACACGCAAAUUCCUGAAGCGUUCCAUAUUUUU